CUUUUUAAAUAUAAAAACAGCAGAUUUUGUUUCGGGUAAAUGUCAGUGUCAAGUACUUAAAUCAGAAAAAAAAAAGAAAAAAAAAGUAGACAUUUUGAGGGCAACAUUCAUACAUGUACAUGUUCAGACUUCAACGUACAGAUGUAAACAAACUACAUUGAAUUAUUAUGCCAAACAGGCAAUUAGGACAGGCACAUGAAUAAAAUGAUCAAUGGUACCCAGGCA
RNAcentral lists this long non-coding RNA (225 nucleotides) under Mytilus galloprovincialis (Mediterranean mussel). Lineage: Eukaryota; Metazoa; Mollusca; Bivalvia; Mytilida; Mytilidae. The record is from RNAcentral.